UGGGGAAUAUUGGACAAUGGGCGCAAGCCUGAUCCAGCCAUGCCGCGUGAGUGAUGAAGGCCCUAGGGUUGUAAAGCUCUUUCACCGGUGAAGAUAAUGACGGUAACCGGAGAAGAAGCCCCGGCUAACUUCGUGCCAGCAGCCGCGGUAAUACGAAGGGGGCUAGCGUUGUUCGGAUUUACUGGGCGUAAAGCGCACGUAGGCGGACUUUUAAGUCAGGGGUGAAAUCCCGGGGCUCAACCCCGGAACUGCCUUUGAUACUGGAAGUCUUGAGUAUGGUAGAGGUGAGUGGAAUUCCGAGUGUAGAGGUGAAAUUCGUAGAUAUUCGGAGGAACACCAGUGGCGAAGGCGGCUCACUGUACCAUUACUGACGCUGAGGUGCGAAAGCGUGGGGAGCAAACAGG
Molecule: ribosomal RNA, 404 nt
Filed under: Actinomycetes bacterium
Lineage: Bacteria; Bacillati; Actinomycetota; Actinomycetes
Description: Actinobacteria bacterium partial 16S ribosomal RNA
Rfam family: Bacterial small subunit ribosomal RNA
Source: RNAcentral